CCAAGACGGUCACCAUACACCCGGGGACA
This 29-nucleotide transfer RNA is filed under the name Tyto alba (common barn owl). RNAcentral's name for it is "partial tRNA-Phe". RNAcentral also lists the same sequence under 1 other name. Lineage: Eukaryota; Metazoa; Chordata; Aves; Strigiformes; Tytonidae. The record is from RNAcentral.